UCACGGUUUACACCGGCAGUCUCGCUAGAGUCCCCAACUUUACUUGCUGGCAACUAACGAUAGGGGUUGCGCUCGUUAUGGGACUUAACCCGACACCUCACGGCACGAGCUGACGACAACCAUGCAGCACCUUGUAAGUAGUCCCGAAGGAAAGGAGAGUUUCCCCCCCAUGCAACCUACAUUUAAACCCAGGUAAGGUUCCUCGCGUAUCAUCGAAUUAAACCACAUGUUCCUCCGCUUGUGCGGGCCCCCGUCAAUUCCUUUGAGUUUCAUUCUUGCGAACGUACUCCCCAGGUGGAUUACUUAAUGCUUUCGCUCAGUCGCUUGCAAUAUAUCGCAAACAACGAGUAAUCAUCGUUUACAGCGUGGACUAC
RNAcentral lists this unclassified non-coding RNA (374 nucleotides) under uncultured Marinilabiliaceae bacterium. RNAcentral's name for it is "contains 16S-23S intergenic spacer region". The record is from RNAcentral. Lineage: Bacteria; Pseudomonadati; Bacteroidota; Bacteroidia; Marinilabiliales; Marinilabiliaceae.